GAGACAUUAGUAAAACAAUUACAUAUCUUUGUCAAGGCUAAAUCAUGAGUGAGACUCUCAUAUGUCUCU
This 69-nucleotide transfer RNA is filed under the name Idiurus macrotis (long-eared scaly-tailed flying squirrel). RNAcentral's name for it is "tRNA-Asp". The record is from RNAcentral. Lineage: Eukaryota; Metazoa; Chordata; Mammalia; Rodentia; Anomaluridae.